GUCGAGCGGACCUCUUCGGAGGUUAGCGGCGGACGGGUGAGUAACACGCUGGGCAACCUGCCUGUAAGACUGGGAUAACUCCGGGAAACCGGAGCUAAUACCGGAUAGUAUCUUGAACCGCAUGGUUCAAGCUGGAAAGACGGUUUCGGCUGUCACUUACAGAUGGGCCCGCGGCGCAUUAGCUAGUUGGUGAGGUAAUGGCUCACCAAGGCAACGAUGCGUAGCCGACCUGAGAGGGUGAUCGGCCACACUGGGACUGAGACACGGCCCAGACUCCUACGGGAGGCAGCAGUAGGGAAUCUUCCGCAAUGGACGAAAGUCUGACGGAGCAACGCCGCGUGAGUGAUGAAGGUUUUCGGAUCGUAAAACUCUGUUGUUAGGGAAGAACAAGUGCGAGAGUAACUGCUCGCACCUUGACGG
This 420-nucleotide ribosomal RNA is filed under the name Bacillus sp. Air278. RNAcentral describes it as "bacterial SSU rRNA". It matches the Rfam family "Bacterial small subunit ribosomal RNA", at positions 61 to 475 of the family's 1533-position model. Lineage: Bacteria; Bacillati; Bacillota; Bacilli; Caryophanales; Bacillaceae. The record is from RNAcentral.